Molecule: ribosomal RNA, 434 nt
Filed under: uncultured bacterium
Lineage: Bacteria
Description: bacterial SSU rRNA
Rfam family: Bacterial small subunit ribosomal RNA
Source: RNAcentral
CUAAACUGAGGGAGGUACGUCGAAACUGACCGGCUAGAGGGACGUAGAGGUAAGCGGAACUCUCGGAGUAGCGGUGAAAUGCGUAGAGACCGAGAGGUACCCCGAUGGUGAAGACAGCUUACUGGGCGUCUCCUGACGCUGAAGCGCUAAGGCCAGGGGAGCGAAGGGGAUUAGAUACCCCCGUAGUCCUGGCUUCAAACGAUGUGGGCUUGGUGUCGGCCCCCUAUAGAGGGUCGUUGCCGGAGUUAACGCGUUAAGCCCACCGCCUGGGGAUUACGUCCGCAAGGAUGAAACUCAAGGGAAUUGACGGGGGCCCACACAACCGGUGGAGCACGUGGUUUAAUUCGAUGGUAAGCGAAGAACCUUACCAGGGCUUGACCUAGCGGUAGUAGAACCCCGAAAGGGGAACGACCUCAAGCUUUGCUUGAGGAGCC